CAGCAUUGUUAAGUGACCCACUGGCCCUCCCUGUGGCCAACUGGGCCUCAUCACAGUGCAAGAGUAACUCCCCUCUUUACAGAAGGGCCAGGCCUGCUUUGUAGGCUGCCCCUUUUGGACUGGGGGUACAUCU
Molecule: small nucleolar RNA, 133 nt
Organism: Monodelphis domestica (gray short-tailed opossum)
Lineage: Eukaryota; Metazoa; Chordata; Mammalia; Didelphimorphia; Didelphidae
Source: Ensembl